UCAAACUUGGUCAUUUAGAGGAAGUAAAAGUCGUAACAAGGUUUCCGUAGGUGAACCUGCGGAAGGAUCAUUAGAAAUGUUUUGUUUACCCAAGUUUCUCUAAGGCUUCAAUUUCAUUUUCGGCCUCGAAAGAAGCUGGAAUGGGGUUGGGCUGGAAGGAGCUUUGGGCACAUCAUUUCCCGGUAUUUCUUUGCUUGCAAAGAUUGCCGGAAACCCCAGAUUUGAAGAGAAAGAGUUUUUUUAUUAAUUCUUUUUUUCUUCAAUUAUCUACCCCUUAAUCUUAACUUUUUUAAAAGUCUGAACCUAUAUAAUAAAAAAUAACUAAAACAACUUUCAACAAUGGAUCCCUCGACUCUCCCAUCGAUGAAGAACGCAGC
This 377-nucleotide unclassified non-coding RNA is filed under the name uncultured fungus. Its description in RNAcentral is "partial contains small subunit ribosomal RNA, internal transcribed spacer 1, and 5.8S ribosomal RNA". The stretch from base 1 to 73 matches the Rfam family "Eukaryotic small subunit ribosomal RNA", at positions 1759 to 1831 of the family's 1831-position model. The record is from RNAcentral. Lineage: Eukaryota; Fungi.